UGGGGAAUAUUGCGCAAUGGGGGCAACCCUGACGCAGCAACGCCGCGUGAUUGAUGAAGGUCUUCGGAUUGUAAAAAUCUUUAAUCAGGGACGAAGAAAAUGACGGUACCUGAAGAAUAAGCUCCGGCUAACUACGUGCCAGCAGCCGCGGUAAUACGUAGGGAGCAAGCGUUAUCCGGAUUUACUGGGUGUAAAGGGCGUGUAGGCGGGCUUGUAAGUUGGAAGUGAAAUCUCGGGGCUUAACCCCGAAACUGCUUUCAAAACUGCGAGUCUUGAGUGAUGGAGAGGCAGGCGGAAUUCCCAGUGUAGCGGUGAAAUGCGUAGAUAUUGGGAGGAACACCAGUGGCGAAGGCGGCCUGCUGGACAUUAACUGACGCUGAGGCGCGAAAGCGUGGGGAGCAAACA
RNAcentral lists this ribosomal RNA (405 nucleotides) under uncultured bacterium. Its description in RNAcentral is "bacterial SSU rRNA". It matches the Rfam family "Bacterial small subunit ribosomal RNA", at positions 355 to 774 of the family's 1533-position model. The record is from RNAcentral.